AGUAUUAACAAUUCCCAAUAUAAACAACUAGAAAUAUAAAAAGUAUUAACAAUUAAAUCAAAAAUAAAAUAAAAACACUAUAGGAACAUUAUAUACAAUGUAGACAGAGUCAGUAGUUGGAUAUGGAACAUAGCACAGAGAAUACUGCACAUAUAAAUUAAAUUAUAGAAAUAUUGUACAAUAUUGAAUGCUAAACAUGACCGACUGUACAUAAAUGAUCACUGUUAAUAUGUUUCUGUUUCUGUCUUGGCAGCUCUGCAGACUGUCCCUGAGGCCCUGAAGCAGCAGCUGCAGUUCACAGCAUUAAAGGUUUGAACACCAGAGGGCAGUCAGACGACAGAAACAUGGAGUCUACCACAUUUGAGAGGUCUUCUCCGAUCUCCAGAUGUGAAGCGUCCAGCAACCAUCGGGACAAAUUCUACUCCAACCUCUAACCUUUCAUUUUAUUUUAUUUGCAUUAUUUCUUUUUAUUGUUAUUAUUAAUUAUAACUAUAAUGACAUGGCUCCCCUGCUGCAAAGAAGUUCUCUCAGUUGCCAUUUUUAUUUGUUUUUUAUUUUAUUUUUUCAAGAAGUCCUCAUAUAUUUUACUGUAACAACACUCUGUUACAAGUUCUGGAUUCAAGAUUUCACUUCAGUAAAUAUUAUGAACAACAAAAUGUACCUAAAGUAUCACAGUUAUAGCAACUUGUUGGGCAGAGUUUUCUCUUUCAAAUAGUUACAUUUCAACUAUUUUUAUAUACA
Long non-coding RNA from Centropristis striata (black sea bass), 741 nucleotides. RefSeq lists it as uncharacterized. The transcript is spliced from 3 exons. NCBI's taxonomy places the organism in Eukaryota, Metazoa, Chordata, Actinopteri, Perciformes, Serranidae. The record is from RefSeq and is a predicted model, not a curated record.